UUUUGGUCUCGAUCGAGGAAAGAUAAAGAGCCAGUGGUAGCUGAGGUGGCAGAAGAGGUGAAAAAGGAAUACUCUGGCAUGCCCUACCCUUACAAAGCCAAACAUACUUAUCACCUGAAGAUCUCCAGAGAGUCGUUUUGAACCUGGUAAAGAGGUUUUGGUUCAUUUCUUCCCGGUAAUUGAGAGGACAGAUCCCUGGAAGAUGGUAAUCUGAAGUUCAGUCUCGGCAUGGCCAUUGUAGUCCCUAACUCCAGGCUUCACGAGCUGUGCAGCGUUAGAGAUGUUCUUGAUUUCUAUAAAGUCGCUGUUCACAACAGAUGUAAAUUUGAUGAACUUGAUGCCAAUAAUCUGCCUCUCAAUUUGAAAACCACCUGAAGUUACUGA
RNAcentral lists this long non-coding RNA (384 nucleotides) under Homo sapiens (human). Its description in RNAcentral is "non-protein coding lnc-FEZ2-9:1". The record is from RNAcentral. Lineage: Eukaryota; Metazoa; Chordata; Mammalia; Primates; Hominidae.